RNAcentral lists this small RNA (131 nucleotides) under Leclercia adecarboxylata. RNAcentral describes it as "RtT sRNA". It matches the Rfam family "RtT RNA". Rfam says of the family: This family represents a bacterial cis-regulatory element known as RtT RNA. The exact function of RtT is unknown although it is thought that it may be involved in changing the cellular response in relation to amino acid starvation. Lineage: Bacteria; Pseudomonadati; Pseudomonadota; Gammaproteobacteria; Enterobacterales; Enterobacteriaceae. The record is from RNAcentral.
ACUCUUCCGAUGCAGGGAAGGAUGAGAAGCUUCGACUAAGGUUCGAUUCGAGCGUAGCGAGAAAGCGUUGCCGCAGGCAACGACCCGAAGGGUGAGGAGCAAAGCGACGAAUUAUCCUUCCCCCACUACCA